AGCUAUUCUGGGAUGUGAGUUCACAGGGAGAAAAGAUGGCUGAGUUUAUUUACUGCCACUUCAACUGGUACUCACAAGAAGGCUGUAUGACUGUGGUAGCGCAAGAAACAGUUCCUCCAGGGGAUGGAUGAACUCCCUGAUAACAUCAUGCAGGAAACGUUAUGAAGCCUUUCAACCAGCCAGGUCUACACUGAAGCUGUUAUGUAAGGAGAAAUAUCUGAGAAUAGAAGUCCUGUGAAGCUGUAACUUGUGUCUGGGCUGCUGCACUUCAAAAGCAUGGGCAGGAAG
Molecule: long non-coding RNA, 288 nt
Organism: Lagopus leucura (white-tailed ptarmigan)
Lineage: Eukaryota; Metazoa; Chordata; Aves; Galliformes; Phasianidae
Exons: 3
Source: RefSeq, a predicted model, not a curated record